Dama dama (fallow deer) is the source of this 105-nucleotide small nuclear RNA. The record is from RefSeq and is a predicted model, not a curated record. NCBI's taxonomy places the organism in Eukaryota, Metazoa, Chordata, Mammalia, Artiodactyla, Cervidae.
UUGUGCUUGCUUCAGCUGCACAAAUAUUGCAAAUUGGAAUGAUAAAGAGAAGUUAUCAUGGCCUCUGUGCAAGGAUGACAUGCAAAUGAAGUGUCUGAUAUUUUU